CUGUAAUAUUUCAACCUCUCUCAAGAUAUGUCAUGAACAUACAGUUAAGAGUAGCAUAAAAUCCCUCCUUUACCUGUAAAGGGGUAAGAAGCUCAAAUAACCUGGUUGGCACCAGACCAGAAGGACCAAUAAGGAGAGAAGAUACUUUAAGAUCUGUGGGGAAAGGUUUUUGCUUUGUGCUCUGUUGUUGUUCUCUCUGAGACAAAGAAAGAGACCAAGCAGGUA
Long non-coding RNA from Gopherus evgoodei (Goodes thornscrub tortoise), 225 nucleotides. RefSeq lists it as uncharacterized. Lineage: Eukaryota; Metazoa; Chordata; Testudines; Testudinidae. The record is from RefSeq and is a predicted model, not a curated record. The transcript has 4 exons.